GGCUCAGGACGAACGCUGGCGGCGUGCUUAACACAUGCAAGUCGAACGGGAGUAUUGAAGAAGCUUGCUUUAGAGAUACUUAGUGGCGGACGGGUGAGUAACGCGUGAGGAGCUGUCCUAUGCAGGGGGACAACAGCUGGAAACGGCUGCUAAUACCCCAUAAGCCGAGAGGUAAAAGGAUCAAUCCGGCAGAGGAGGUACUCGCGUCCUAUCAGCUAGUAGGUGAGGUAACGGCUCACCUAGGCGAAGACGGGUAGCCGGCCUGAGAGGGCGAACGGCCACACUGGAACUGAGAUACAGUCCAGACUCCUACGGGAGGCAGCAGUGGGGAAUAUUGGGCAAUGGGGGAAACCCUGACCCAGCGACGCCGCGUGGGUGAAGAAAUCCUUCGGGAUGUAAAGCCCUGUUGUAUGGGAAGAGCGGAAGACGGUACCAUACGAGGAAGCCCCGGCAAACUACGUGCCAGCAGCCGC
RNAcentral lists this ribosomal RNA (473 nucleotides) under uncultured bacterium. Its description in RNAcentral is "bacterial SSU rRNA". It matches the Rfam family "Bacterial small subunit ribosomal RNA", at positions 21 to 518 of the family's 1533-position model. The record is from RNAcentral.